RNAcentral lists this transfer RNA (73 nucleotides) under Ixodes scapularis (black-legged tick). Its description in RNAcentral is "tRNA-Ser". Lineage: Eukaryota; Metazoa; Arthropoda; Arachnida; Ixodida; Ixodidae. The record is from RNAcentral.
UCCUAGUUAGCUAAGUUGGUAGAGCGCUCCACCGGAAGUGGGGAGGUCCCUGGUUUGAUUCCAGGACAAGGCG